Molecule: ribosomal RNA, 253 nt
Filed under: uncultured bacterium
Lineage: Bacteria
Description: partial 16S ribosomal RNA
Rfam family: Bacterial small subunit ribosomal RNA
Source: RNAcentral
UACAGAGGUCUCAAGCGUUGUUCGGAUUCAUUGGGCGAAAAGGGUGUGUAGGUGGCGCGCUAAGUCGGGUGUGAAAUUUCGGAGCUUAACUCCGAAACUGCAUUCGAUACUGGCGUGCUUGAGGACUGGAGAGGAGACUGGAAUUCAUGGUGUAGCAGUGAAAUGCGUAGAGAUCAUGAGGAAGACCAGUGGCGAAGGCGGGUCUCUGGACAGUUCCUGACACUGAGACACGAAGGCCAGGGGAGCAAACGGG